Molecule: ribosomal RNA, 449 nt
Filed under: uncultured bacterium
Lineage: Bacteria
Description: bacterial SSU rRNA
Rfam family: Bacterial small subunit ribosomal RNA
Source: RNAcentral
ACUCCUACGGGAGGCAGCAGUGGGGAAUAUUGCACAAUGGGCGCAAGCCUGAUGCAGCAACGCCGUGUGAGUGAAGAAGGUUUUCGGAUCGUAAAACUCUGUCCUAAGGGAAGAAACAAAUGACGGUACCUUAGGAGGAAGCCCGGCUAACUACGUGCCAGCAGCCGCGGUAAUACGUAGGGGCAAGCGUUAUCCGGAAUCACUGGGGCGUAAAGGGUGCGUAGGCGGCUUAGCAAGCCAGGGGUGAAAGGCAUUGGCUCAACCAAUGUAAGCCUUUGGAACUGUUAAGCUUGAGUGCAGGAGAGGUAAGUGGAAUUCCUAGUGUAGAGGUGAAAUUCGUAGAUAUUAGGAGGAACACCAGUGGCGAAGGCGACUUACUGGACUGUAACUGACGCUGAUGCACGAAAGCGUGGGUAGCGAACAGGAUUAGAUACCCUGGUAGACUGUCA